This 431-nucleotide ribosomal RNA is filed under the name uncultured bacterium. RNAcentral describes it as "bacterial SSU rRNA". It matches the Rfam family "Bacterial small subunit ribosomal RNA", at positions 28 to 408 of the family's 1533-position model. The record is from RNAcentral.
GACGAACGCUUGCGGCGUGCCUAAGAAAUGCAAGUCGAGCGGGUCCGAAGGCUGAAUGGUGAAAGACGAAGGACGGAUUUCGUUUUUCAGCUUUCAGCAUUCAGCUUUCGGACUAGCGGCGAACGGUCGCGUAACACGUAAGCAACCUGCCCCGAAGACCGGGACAACAGUGGGAAACCGCUGCUAAUACCGGAUGUGGCCAUUGGGGGACAUCCCCCGGUGAUUAAAGCCUGCACAAGGGCUCGGGAGGGGCUUGCGGCCUAUCAGCUAGUUGGUGGGGUAACGGCCUACCAAGGCGACGACGGGUAGCGGGUCUGAGAGGACGAUCCGCCGGACUGGGACUGAGAUACGGCCCAGACUCCUACGGGGGCGAGCAAUUAGGAAUCUUGCACAAUGGGCGAAAGCCUGAUGCAGCGACGCCGCGUGAGGGA